This 444-nucleotide ribosomal RNA is filed under the name uncultured bacterium. RNAcentral describes it as "bacterial SSU rRNA". It matches the Rfam family "Bacterial small subunit ribosomal RNA", at positions 29 to 507 of the family's 1533-position model. The record is from RNAcentral.
AAUGAACGUUGGCGGCGUGGAUUAGGCAUGCAAGUCGAGCGUACCCAGCAAUGGGGAAGCGGCAAACGGGGUAGUAAGGCCAUCGGAAACGUACCCUCUUGUUGGGAAUAGCCGCGGGAAACUGCGAGUAAUGCCCAAUAAUCCCUACGGGGCAAAGGUCCGCCGCAGGAGGAGCGGCCGAUGUGAUACCAGCUAGUUGGUGAGGUAAUGGCUCACCAAGGCUUAGACGUCUAGGGGGUGUGAGAGCAUGGCCCCCACCACUGGGACUGAGAUACUGCCCAGACACCUACGGGUGGCUGCAGUCGAGAAUCUUCGGCAAUGGGCGCAAGCCUGACCGAGCAACGCCGCGUGCGGGAUGAAGGCCCUUGGGUUGUAAACCGCUGUCAGGGGGGAUGAAAGCGCAAGCUUGACAGAGCCCCAGAGGAAGCACGGGCUAAGUUCGUG